CCUACGGGGUGCUGCAGUGGGGGAUAUUGCACAAUGGGGGAAACCCUGAUGCAGCGACGCCGCGUGGGUGAAGAAGCGCCUCGGCGCGUAAAGCCCUGUCAGCAGGGAAGAAAAUGACGGUACCUGAAGAAGAAGCCCCGGCUGACUACGUGCCAGCAGCCGCGGUAAUACGUAGGGGGCAAGCUGUAGCCGGAUUUACUGGGUGUAAAGGGGGCGCAGACGGCGAUGCAAGCCAGGAGUGAAAGCCCGGGGCCCAACCCCGGGACUGCUCUUGGAAGUGCGUGGCGAGAGUGCAGGAGGGGCAGGCGGAAUUCCUGGUGUAGCGGUGAAAUGCGUAGAUAUCAGGAGGAACACCGGUGGCGAAGGCGGCCUGCUGGACUGCAACUGACGUUGAGGCCCGAAAGCGUGGGGAGCAAACAGGAUUAGAUACCCGAGUAGUC
Molecule: ribosomal RNA, 440 nt
Filed under: uncultured bacterium
Lineage: Bacteria
Description: partial 16S ribosomal RNA
Rfam family: Bacterial small subunit ribosomal RNA
Source: RNAcentral